CUAAGCUAAGCAUUUAACAUUGUUUUGUUUGUACUUCUCACUUGUUCUUUGACUUUCUUCUCAGAAACUUGUUAAGAAUGGGAGAAAUACUUCUUUCUGAGCUGACUGGAACACAGUAUUUAUUUCAGUGGAAAACAGAACAGUAGGACCUUUGCAGUUUACCUUUUCCUAAAGGAAGAAAAAGAUAAUUUGAUCUUAAAAAACCUGUCAUUCUAUAAAUUUGGAAGCAGAAAAUGGUGGGAAAAUAUCUCUAAAAUUAGACUUUCUGCUGGCAUUUCAUCUUUGACGGAGAUCAUGUCUGUUCUGGAAAAAAUAAUUGGAUCUGACUUCAAGCAUCAGGAGUCUGAUGGGAGCAGCCAACCAAUUCCACUAGUCAUUGGAAUAAUAACAUCGAAAAGAAAUGUACUCUUGGGAGAGUAUGAAGUAGGAAUUACCUCAUCAACUGCACAGAUACUUCUCACUGAGGCUUUCACUCUCAGGAUUCAGCAGUGGUCUCUAGAAGAAAGCCAGCAAUGUACUCAAUCCAAAAGGAAUAGGCCACUGGGGUAG
Molecule: long non-coding RNA, 549 nt
Filed under: Coturnix japonica (Japanese quail)
Lineage: Eukaryota; Metazoa; Chordata; Aves; Galliformes; Phasianidae
Description: lncRNA (ENSCJPG00005008195.1)
Source: RNAcentral